UGGUUUGUAGAGAUUCUGUUAGUU
Molecule: non-coding RNA, 24 nt
Filed under: Cricetulus griseus (Chinese hamster)
Lineage: Eukaryota; Metazoa; Chordata; Mammalia; Rodentia; Cricetidae
Source: RNAcentral